GACGAACGCUGGCGGCGUGCCUAAUACAUGCAAGUAGAACGCUGAAGGAGGAGCUUGCUUCUCUGGAUGAGUUGCGAACGGGUGAGUAACGCGUAGGUAACCUGCCUGGUAGCGGGGGAUAACUAUUGGAAACGAUAGCUAAUACCGCAUAAUAGUAGAUGUUGCAUGACAUUUGCUUAAAAGGUGCAAUUGCAUCACUACCAGAUGGACCUGCGUUGUAUUAGCUAGUUGGUGAGGUAACGGCUCACCAAGGCAACGAUACAUAGCCGACCUGAGAGGGUGAUCGGCCACACUGGGACUGGGACACGGCCCAGACUCCUACGGGAGGCAGCAGUAGGGAAUCUUCGGCAAUGGACGGAAGUCUGACCGAGCAACGCCGCGUGAGUGAAGAAGGGUUUCGGAUCGUAAAGCUCUGUUGUAAGAGAAGAACGAGUGUGAGAGUGGAAAGUUCACACUGUGACGGUAUCUUACCAGAAAGGGACGGCUAACUACGUG
RNAcentral lists this ribosomal RNA (495 nucleotides) under uncultured bacterium. Its description in RNAcentral is "partial 16S ribosomal RNA". It matches the Rfam family "Bacterial small subunit ribosomal RNA", at positions 28 to 507 of the family's 1533-position model. The record is from RNAcentral.